AAGACAUCUGAAAGAGAUUAAAGAUUUAUCGGUGAUGGAUGGGGAUGCGUCUGAUUAGCUUGUUGGCGGGGUAACGGCCCACCAAGGCCACGAUCAGUAGGGGUUCUGAGAGGAAGGUCCCCCACAUUGGAACUGAGACACGGUCCAAACUCCUACGGGAGGCAGCAGUGAGGAAUAUUGGUCAAUGGGCGAGAGCCUGAACCAGCCAAGUAGCGUGCAGGAUGACGGCCCUAUGGGUUGUAAACUGCUUUUAUAAGGGAAUAAAGUGAGUCUCGUGAGACUUUUUGCAUGUACCUUAUGAAUAAGGACCGGCUAAUUCCGUGCCAGCAGCCGCGGUAAUACGGAAGGUCCGGGCGUUAUCCGGAUUUAUUGGGUUUAAAGGGAGCGUAGGCCGGAGAUUAAGCGUGUUGUGAAAUGUAGAUGCUCAACAUCUGAACUGCAGCGCGAACUGGUUUCCUUGAGUACGCACAAAGUGGGCGGAAUUCGUGGUGUAGCGGUGAAAUGCUUAGAUAUCACGAAGAACUCCGAUUGCGAAGGCAGCUCACUGGAGCGCAACUGACGCUGAAGCUCGAAAGUGCGGGUAUCGAACAGGAUUAGAUACCCUGGUAGUCCGCACGGUAAACGAUGGAUGCCCGCUGUUGGUCUGAAUAGGUCAGCGGCCAAGCGAAAGCAUUAAGCAUCCCACCUGGGGAGUA
RNAcentral lists this ribosomal RNA (695 nucleotides) under uncultured bacterium. RNAcentral's name for it is "bacterial SSU rRNA". It matches the Rfam family "Bacterial small subunit ribosomal RNA", at positions 185 to 882 of the family's 1533-position model. The record is from RNAcentral.